Cinara cedri is the source of this 285-nucleotide non-coding RNA. Lineage: Eukaryota; Metazoa; Arthropoda; Insecta; Hemiptera; Aphididae. The record is from the annotation of a GenBank genome assembly.
CCGUACACCGUGAACACGCAUACGAGUAGUAUUAUCGAUGUCCAAAACCCUCUUUUCAAGCCGGAUUCGAAAAGCGUUUAAAAUUUAGACCGGCGGAAUAGGAGACGAUUAGCAAAAAACAGAUACCUAUGAAAUGUAUUAUUUUUCCCCGCUCUUCCGGCCUGAAUGUCUUUAACUCGUACGAAUUUAUAACUCAUAGUAUCCGACAUAGGCAUACUAAUCUAACAGCCAUGUCCAGACAAAUAAUAUAUUUCCAAGAAUGUGUUGAGAACCGCUGAAAAAACC